UCUGGCAUGAGAGGGAUCAUUUCCUCAUAGG
Molecule: non-coding RNA, 31 nt
Filed under: Rattus norvegicus (Norway rat)
Lineage: Eukaryota; Metazoa; Chordata; Mammalia; Rodentia; Muridae
Source: RNAcentral